This 253-nucleotide ribosomal RNA is filed under the name uncultured bacterium. RNAcentral describes it as "partial 16S ribosomal RNA". It matches the Rfam family "Bacterial small subunit ribosomal RNA", at positions 524 to 776 of the family's 1533-position model. The record is from RNAcentral.
UACGAAGGGGGCUAGCGUUGCUCGGAAUCACUGGGCGUAAAGAGCGCGUAGGCGGCCAUUCAAGUCGGAGGUGAAAGCCCAGGGCUCAACCCUGGAAUUGCCUUCGAUACUGUCUGGCUAGAGACCGGAAGAGGUAAGUGGAACUGCGAGUGUAGAGGUGAAAUUCGUAGAUAUUCGCAAGAACACCAGUGGCGAAGGCGGCUUACUGGUCCGGUUCUGACGCUGAGGCGCGAAAGCGUGGGGAGCAAACAGG